AACUAACAAGGAUUCCCCCAGUAACGGCGAGUGAAGUGGGAAGAGCCCAGCACCGAAUCCCCCGCCCCGCGGCGAGGUGAACUGUGGUGUUUGGGAGAGCCUCUGGAGUGUGUGGCCGGCGUCCGAGUCCUCCUGAUUGGGGCUUCGCCCGGAGCGGGUGUCAGGCCUCUACGGCCCCGGCCUCCACUUCUCUGAGCCUCCCCGGAGUCGGGUUGUUUGAGAAUGCAGCCCAAAGCGGGUGGUAAACUCCAUCUAAGGCUAAAUACCGACACGAGUCCGAUAGCGGACAAGUA
This 293-nucleotide ribosomal RNA is filed under the name Branchiomma bairdi. Its description in RNAcentral is "partial 28S ribosomal RNA". It matches the Rfam family "Eukaryotic large subunit ribosomal RNA", at positions 63 to 350 of the family's 3401-position model. Lineage: Eukaryota; Metazoa; Annelida; Polychaeta; Sabellida; Sabellidae. The record is from RNAcentral.